This is a non-coding RNA of Oryza nivara, 162 nucleotides long. NCBI's taxonomy places the organism in Eukaryota, Viridiplantae, Streptophyta, Magnoliopsida, Poales, Poaceae. The record is from Rfam.
AAUAAGCACAACCAUAAGUUUUCUUGUCCAACUUUAAUCGUUCGUCUUAUUUAUUUUUUUAUGAUUAAUAUUUUAAUUGUUAUUAGAUUAUAAAACAUGGAUAGUAUUUUAAAUAAGAUGAACGAUUAAAGUUGGAUACGGAAACUUAUGGCUGCACUUAUU